Molecule: non-coding RNA, 46 nt
Organism: Legionella feeleii
Lineage: Bacteria; Pseudomonadati; Pseudomonadota; Gammaproteobacteria; Legionellales; Legionellaceae
Source: Rfam
AAUUAGGCUUCUUUAGAAGCCACUUCCUAUUGAAACCGCUUUUUUU